UCUGGAGGUGCUGCUGUGUUUGGAGCAUUUAAACCCAGAGGCAGGGGCGACGCAGAAAAAAAAAAGGCAUCAGAGUUGUCGGGGAGCAGCAGGCUUACUCUCGAGAUUCUCCCUGCUGACCUGAUGAAGUAAGCAGCCUUGUCGGGAAAGCCUACAUGGCAAGGAACUGCAAAUGGCCUCUAGGAACUGUGAGUGGCCUUUAGGAGCUGAAGUUGGCCUCCAAUCAGCAAGAAGCCAGGGCACUUAGUCCUACUGCAGCAAGGAAAUACAUUCUGCCAACCAUCUGAAUGAGCUUGGAAGUGGAUUCUUCCCAAGCCAAGCCUCCAUAUAAGAAUGCAGCCCACCUGACACAUUCAUAACAGCUGAGCAGAGGACCCAAUUAAACCGUGCCUGGACUCUUCAUCCACAGAAACUUCGAGAUAAUCAAUGCAUGUUGCGUUAAGCCAUGACGUUUGUGAUAAUUCGUUAUGCAGCAAUAAAUGACUAACACACUCCUUUA
Molecule: long non-coding RNA, 499 nt
Organism: Homo sapiens (human)
Lineage: Eukaryota; Metazoa; Chordata; Mammalia; Primates; Hominidae
Exons: 2
Source: RefSeq, a predicted model, not a curated record